RNAcentral lists this long non-coding RNA (1226 nucleotides) under Oreochromis niloticus (Nile tilapia). RNAcentral's name for it is "lncRNA (ENSONIG00000033961.1)". The record is from RNAcentral. Lineage: Eukaryota; Metazoa; Chordata; Actinopteri; Cichliformes; Cichlidae.
CUAUGAUAUCCUGUGUGUUUUUUUUUUUUUUUUUGGCGGGUUGGGGGGGGGGCAUAUCAUACUGUGAGAAAGCUGCCAGUUCAGUCUGUAACACUAAUAUGAGCUGCAGAGUGGAGUGAAGCCUUCUUUCCCCACCUCCCACCAUCAGCCUGAAAUAGAACGGUAUGGUUGUGCUGGACAGCUCCUAAAUGCAACUCGGGCCAACAGAGCGUACAGGCAGAAACUCUGCCUGUACAAAUAAAUAAGCAGUGCUGUUCCCACAUUCUUCCCCCUUUUUUAUAUUCAUUUAUAUUCUUUUAAGUCAGUGUGGUCUCUGUUCAGCAGCGCUUCACACAAUGGACCUACAGCAGCACCUUUUGUAGGCUGUAAGUCGACCUGUGUGUAACCACGGUGAGGCCUUCAUUUUAAACCUGUAUCAUCUUAUAACACGUGUUAGGAGAGCCGCCGUCUCCCUGCUGACACCACACUGCCUCACGUAGGGAGGAGGGGGUCGUACCGCCUUAUCUCCAGCCUCAGCUGCAUGAUCGGGCUCAGCUGGAACCGGUUUUCACAUGACAUUUCCACCACUGUUACACCAUCAUUCCUCACCAUGUAAUCCUUCCAAAGCAUGUUUGUUCUGGGUACUGUGACUAGAUAAAGUUGGACCAGAGGGAAAACCCUUAGACAGCAUUACAAGGUGUUUUUUCCACGGUGGGUCAGUGUGUUUGAGGGUGCUGCUGACUGGAUAGGACACACAGGCUUGAGUCAGUCAUGUGAACCAGAGCUGUCUGCAGUGGAGACUUCCAAACACACAUCAAAGUCAGGGGAAACUGGAAUAAUUCACUCGAUUGCACACCACCAUCACCAUAGACGGCAGAUUUCCAGCAGCUUUGUUCAGCACAGCCUGGCCUGACAAAUUCAGCCCAAGAGCAGAAAUCUCUGUGACCCCGAAACCCAGGCCCAGAUGACUCUUGCUGCUGUUGCUGUCAGAGCAGACACAUCAACAAUACGUGCCAGGAAAGUUCUGCAAAACUUAAACAUAUGGGGAAAACCAGGCCUUUACAGAUAAUGCCCUUUAAUCAAAGGAUUAAGAUCUGUGUGGCUCAGACACAAGAUGGCAUUUCAGGAGAGGAACCUGGUCUGGGUCACAGCACAGGAUAUUAAAAAUGGCUUGAAAGCUAAGGUCUAACCUGAUGUGGACCUUGUAAAAGGAUAAUGAUCCUAAACACUUUCAUCAGAGAACAAAU